Molecule: transfer RNA, 72 nt
Filed under: Camelus bactrianus (Bactrian camel)
Lineage: Eukaryota; Metazoa; Chordata; Mammalia; Artiodactyla; Camelidae
Also listed under: 1 other name
Rfam family: tRNA
About the family: Transfer RNA (tRNA) molecules are approximately 80 nucleotides in length. Their secondary structure includes four short double-helical elements and three loops (D, anti-codon, and T loops).
Source: Rfam by way of RNAcentral
GUAGGUAUAGCUCAGGGGUAGAGUGCGUGCUUGGCAUGCAUGAGGUCCUGAGUUCAAUCCCCGGUACCUCCA